UACGUAGGGCGCAAGCGUUGUCCGGAAUUAUUGGGCGUAAAGAGCUCGUAGGCGGCUUGUCACGUCGGGUGUGAAAGCCCGGGGCUUAACCCCGGGUCUGCAUUCGAUACGGGCUAGCUAGAGUGUGGUAGGGGAGAUCGGAAUUCCUGGUGUAGCGGUGAAAUGCGCAGAUAUCAGGAGGAACACCGGUGGCGAAGGCGGAUCUCUGGGCCAUUACUGACGCUGAGGUGCGAAAGCGUGGGUAGCAAACAGG
RNAcentral lists this ribosomal RNA (253 nucleotides) under uncultured bacterium. Its description in RNAcentral is "partial 16S ribosomal RNA". It matches the Rfam family "Bacterial small subunit ribosomal RNA", at positions 524 to 776 of the family's 1533-position model. The record is from RNAcentral.